GACGAACGCUGGCGGCGUGCCUAACACAUGCAAGUCGAACGGUAGCACAGAGAGCUUGCUCUCGGGUGACGAGUGGCGGACGGGUGAGUAACGUCUGGGAAACCGCCCGAUGGAGGGGGAUAACUACUGGAAACGGUAGCUAAUACCGCAUAUCGUCGCAAGACCAAAGUGGGGGACCUUCGGGCCUCACACCAUCGGAUGUGCCCAGAUGGGAUUAGCUAGUAGGUGGGGUAACGGCUCACCUAGGCGACGAUCCCUAGCUGGUCUGAGAGGAUGACCAGCCACACUGGAACUGAGACACGGUCCAGACUCCUACGGGAGGCAGCAGUGGGGAAUAUUGCACAAUGGGCGCAAGCCUGAUGCAGCCAUGCCGCGUGUAUGAAGAAGGCCUUCGGGUUGUAAAGUACUUUCAGCGGGGAGGAAGGCGGUGAAGUUAAUAGCUUCACCGAUUGACGUUACCCGCAGAAGAAGCACUGGCUAACUCCGUGCCAGCCGCCGCCGUAA
RNAcentral lists this ribosomal RNA (504 nucleotides) under uncultured bacterium. Its description in RNAcentral is "partial 16S ribosomal RNA". It matches the Rfam family "Bacterial small subunit ribosomal RNA", at positions 28 to 523 of the family's 1533-position model. The record is from RNAcentral.